This 459-nucleotide ribosomal RNA is filed under the name uncultured bacterium. RNAcentral describes it as "partial 16S ribosomal RNA". It matches the Rfam family "Bacterial small subunit ribosomal RNA", at positions 338 to 795 of the family's 1533-position model. The record is from RNAcentral.
CCUACGGGAGGCAGCAGUGAGGAAUAUUGGUCAAUGGACGCAAGUCUGAACCAGCCAUGCCGCGUGCAGGAAGACGGCUCUAUGAGUUGUAAACUGCUUUUGUACGAGGGUAAAUCCCGAUACGUGUAUCGGGUUGAAAGUAUCGUACGAAUAAGGAUCGGCUAACUCCGUGCCAGCAGCCGCGGUAAUACGGAGGAUUCAAGCGUUAUCCGGAUUUAUUGGGUUUAAAGGGUGCGCAGGCGGUCUGUUAAGUCAGCGGUCAAAGCCCGGGGCUCAACCCCGGCCCGCCGUUGAAACUGGCAGUCUCGAGUUGGAGAGAAGUAUGCGGAAUGCGCGGUGUAGCGGUGAAAUGCAUAGAUAUCACGCAGAACUCCGAUUGCGAAGGCAGCAUACCGGCGCGCAACUGACGCUCAUGCACGAAAGCGUGGGUAUCGAACAGGAUUAGAUACCCUGGUAGUC